RNAcentral lists this ribosomal RNA (446 nucleotides) under uncultured bacterium. RNAcentral's name for it is "partial 16S ribosomal RNA". It matches the Rfam family "Bacterial small subunit ribosomal RNA", at positions 329 to 792 of the family's 1533-position model. The record is from RNAcentral.
GGCCAGACUCCUACGGGAGGCAGCAGUGGGGGAUAUUGCACAAUGGGGGGAACCCUGAUGCAGCGACGCCGCGUGAGUGAAGAAGUAUUUCGGUAUGUAAAGCUCUAUCAGCAGGGAAGAAAAUGACGGUACCUGACUAAGAAGCCCCGGCUAACUACGUGCCAGCAGCCGCGGUAAUACGUAUGGAGCAAGCGUUAUCCGGAUUUACUGGGUGUAAAGGGAGCGUAGGCGGCCUGCCAAGUCUGAUGUGAAAUACCGGGGCUCAACCCCGGGGCUGCAUUGGAAACUGACAGGCUGGAGUGUCGGAGAGGCAGGCGGAAUUCCUAGUGUAGCGGUGAAAUGCGUAGAUAUCAGGAGGAACACCGGUGGCGAAGGCGGCCUGCUGGACUGCAACUGACGUUGAGGCCCGAAAGCGUGGGGAGCAAACAGGAUUAGAUACCCCGGUA